Mustela lutreola (European mink) is the source of this 533-nucleotide long non-coding RNA. RefSeq lists it as uncharacterized. The record is from RefSeq and is a predicted model, not a curated record. Lineage: Eukaryota; Metazoa; Chordata; Mammalia; Carnivora; Mustelidae. The transcript is spliced from 3 exons.
CUCUCCCCGCCCCCGGCGGCCCAGUUUCCUCCCUCUCACCCCCGGCCGCGCCGGAGGAUGCUGGACCGGCACAGAUAAGAGCCUGGCCGGCCGACUGGCCGCGCCUGAUAAGGAGCCGGGCUGACCCCGGAGGAAACCGGCGGGCGGGGAUCUCCGAGCGCUGGCCUCACAGCUCCGCCCCCGGCCGGCGAGGGACGGAGCGGUCCCCCGGGACCUCUGAGGACCCCGACCCACUACACAGCUGGGAGUGAAGCGAGGGGAAGCAGCAGGCCUGCCGGCCUCAGUGCGCUCGCCAGAGGGGCCGCAGAGCAGGAAGCACCUGGCCUGGAGCGGAUGCACAAGGCGCCUGGUUCCGGUCCGGCUUCCGCCCCCGCGGCCCCGUGGGGAGCUCCGCCAGAGAACCAGGCGGCGACGCGGGUCAGGGGAAAUGUCUUGAGCCGGGCAGCCCGCUGGACUGGGUCCUCUGCUGGCUCUUUCCUCUUAUUCUGGUGCAGCCUGCGUCUCUCCUCCAUAGCUCCGCCAGCUGCCUUGCC